GAUGAACGCUGGCGGCGUGCUUAACACAUGCAAGUCGAGCGAUGAAGUUUCCUUCGGGAAACGGAUUAGCGGCGGACGGGUGAGUAACACGUGGGUAACCUGCCUCAUAGAGUGGAAUAGCCUUCCGAAAGGAAGAUUAAUACCGCAUAACGUUGAAAGAUGGCAUCGUCAUUCAACCAAAGGAGCAAUCCGCUAUGAGAUGGACCCGCGGCGCAUUAGCUAGUUGGUGGGGUAACGGCCUACCAAGGCGACGAUGCGUAGCCGCCCUGAGAGGGUGAUCGGCGACAUUGGGACUGAGACACGGCCCAGGCUCCUACGGGAGGCAGCAGUGGGGAAUAGUGCACAAUGGGGGAAACCCUGAUGCAGCAACGCCGCGUGAGUGAUGAAGGUUUUCGGAUCGUAAAGCUCUGUCUUUGGGGAAGAUAAUGACGGUACCCAAGGAGGAAGCCACGGCUAACUACGUGCCAGCCGCCGCUGUAA
Molecule: ribosomal RNA, 480 nt
Filed under: uncultured bacterium
Lineage: Bacteria
Description: partial 16S ribosomal RNA
Rfam family: Bacterial small subunit ribosomal RNA
Source: RNAcentral